CCUACGGGAGGCAGCAGUGGGGAAUAUUGCACAAUGGGGGAAACCCUGAUGCAGCGACGUCGCGUGAGUGAAGAAGUAUCUCGGUAUGUAAAGCUCCAUCAGCAGGGAAGAAAAUGACGGUACCUGUUGAAGAAGCCCCGGCUAACUACGGGCCAGCAGCCGCGGUAAUACGUAGGGGGCAAGCGUUAUCCGGAUUUACUGGGUGUAAAGGGAGCGUAGACGGGAAUGCAAGUCAGAAGUGAAAGCCCGGGGCUCAACUCCGGGACUGCUUUUGAAACUGUGUGUCUGGAGUGCAGGAGAGGUAAGCGGAAUUCCUGGUGUAGCGGUGAAAUGCGUAGAUAUCAGGAGGAACACCAGUGGCGAAGGCAGCUUACUGGACUGUAACUGACGUUGAGGCUCGAAAGCGUGGGGAGCAAACAGGAUUAGAUACCCUUGUAGUC
RNAcentral lists this ribosomal RNA (440 nucleotides) under uncultured bacterium. RNAcentral describes it as "partial 16S ribosomal RNA". It matches the Rfam family "Bacterial small subunit ribosomal RNA", at positions 338 to 795 of the family's 1533-position model. The record is from RNAcentral.